GCAUAAUCCAAAUUCCACCGUGAAGAAAUACAACUGUGGAGAAAGAUACGUAACGGAAUAUUCUUCUUUGUUAACGCAAUUCUGUUGCCAAUUUAUUGAUGUCCUCGUCCGAGGCUCCCAGGGAGGCCAGUCCAAGUUCUUGAGAGAAUUGAGCGAAACUUGGAUUCGCUAGAAGCGGCAUGUGGCCUAACAAUUCGUGACAACAGUCCCUGUAAAUAAUUUGUUGUUAGGAUUCUGGAUGUCUAAGUUCUUAAAUUUAUUUUUUAAAUUUUCAGAUUCUCAGAUUGCUAGAUUUCUGAUUUUUUAUUUUUC
This is a long non-coding RNA of Megachile rotundata (alfalfa leafcutting bee), 312 nucleotides long. NCBI's taxonomy places the organism in Eukaryota, Metazoa, Arthropoda, Insecta, Hymenoptera, Megachilidae. The record is from RefSeq and is a predicted model, not a curated record.